Molecule: small nuclear RNA, 96 nt
Filed under: Saimiri boliviensis boliviensis (Bolivian squirrel monkey)
Lineage: Eukaryota; Metazoa; Chordata; Mammalia; Primates; Cebidae
Source: RNAcentral
GUGUUUGCACAUAUACCAAAAUUGAAAUGAUACUGAGAUUAGCAAUGGCCCCUAAGAAAGGAUGACACGCAAAUUCAUGAAGCAUUCCAUAUUUUA